Molecule: ribosomal RNA, 313 nt
Filed under: Staphylococcus aureus
Lineage: Bacteria; Bacillati; Bacillota; Bacilli; Caryophanales; Staphylococcaceae
Description: partial 23S ribosomal RNA
Rfam family: Bacterial large subunit ribosomal RNA
Source: RNAcentral
CGAGCGAACUCUCGUUAAGGAACUCGGCAAAAUGACCCCGUAACUUCGGGAGAAGGGGUGCUCUUUAGGGUUAACGCCCAGAAGAGCCGCAGUGAAUAGGCCCAAGCGACUGUUUAUCAAAAACACAGGUCUCUGCUAAACCGUAAGGUGAUGUAUAGGGGCUGACGCCUGCCCGGUGCUGGAAGGUUAAGAGGAGUGGUUAGCUUCUGCGAAGCUACGAAUCGAAGCCCCAGUAAACGGCGGCCGUAACUAUAACGGUCCUAAGGUAGCGAAAUUCCUUGUCGGGUAAGUUCCGACCCGCACGAAAGGCGUA